UACAGAGGGUGCGAGCGUUAAUCGGAAUUACUGGGCGUAAAGGGUUUGUAGGUGGCUUGCUAAGUCAGACGUGAAAUCCCUCAGCUUAACUGGGGAACUGCGUCUGAUACUGGCGAGCUUGAGUGCAGGAGAGGAACGCGGAAUUCCAGGUGUAGCGGUGAAAUGCGUAGAUAUCUGGAGGAACACCGGUGGCGAAGGCGGCGUUCUGGACUGUAACUGACACUGAGAAACGAAAGCCAGGGUAGCAAACGGG
RNAcentral lists this ribosomal RNA (253 nucleotides) under uncultured bacterium. Its description in RNAcentral is "partial 16S ribosomal RNA". It matches the Rfam family "Bacterial small subunit ribosomal RNA", at positions 524 to 776 of the family's 1533-position model. The record is from RNAcentral.